UACAGAGGAGCCAAGCGUUGUCCGGAAUUACUGGGCGUAAAGCGUGCGCAGGCGGUUCGUUGUGUCGGCGGUGAAAGCCCCGGGCUUAACCUGGGAAUGGCCGUUGAAACUGGCGAACUGGAGUGUGGCAGAGGGGGGUGGAAUUCCGCGUGUAGCAGUGAAAUGCGUAGAGAUGCGGAGGAACACCGAUGGCGAAGGCAGCCCCCUGGGCUAACACUGACGCUCAGGCACGAAAGCGUGGGGAGCAAACAGG
Molecule: ribosomal RNA, 253 nt
Filed under: uncultured bacterium
Lineage: Bacteria
Description: partial 16S ribosomal RNA
Rfam family: Bacterial small subunit ribosomal RNA
Source: RNAcentral